RNAcentral lists this ribosomal RNA (408 nucleotides) under uncultured bacterium. RNAcentral describes it as "partial 16S ribosomal RNA". It matches the Rfam family "Bacterial small subunit ribosomal RNA", at positions 28 to 526 of the family's 1533-position model. The record is from RNAcentral.
GACGAACGCUGGCGGCGUGCUUAACACAUGCAAGUCGAACGAAGUGGCGAACGGGUGAGUAACGCGUAAUCAACCUGCCCUUCAGAGGGGGACAACAGUUGGAAACGACUGUUAAUACCGCAACCUGAACGAGGGGAUUGCGUCUGAUUAGCUAGUUGGAGGGGUAACGGCCCACCAAGGCGAUGAUCAGUAUCCGGUCUGAGAGGAGGAACGGCCACAUUGGGACUGAGACACGGCCCAGAAUCCGACGGGAGGGAGCAGUGGGGAAUCUUCCGCAAUGGACGAAAGUCUGACGGAGCAACGCCGCGUGAGUGAUGACGGCCUUCGGGUUGGAAAGCUCUGUUAAUCGGGGCGCGGUACCGGAAUAGAAAGCCACGGCUAACUACGUGCCAGCAGCCGCGGUAAUUC